AAGUCGUAACAAGGUUUCCGUAGGUGAACCUGCGGAAGGAUCACUAGUGAUUAAAUCGAGAGCGUCUUCAUUGACCUCUCACCCUUCACAUCCACAUACACCUGUGCACCGUUUGGCUCUUAUAAAAGACGCAAGUCUGCAAUGAGAGUCAUCAAUUUUAUACAUACCCCAGUCUUAUAAAUGUAACAGUUUUAAUAAACAUAAUAAAACUUUUAACAACGGAUCUCUUGGUUCUC
This 236-nucleotide unclassified non-coding RNA is filed under the name Mrakia frigida. RNAcentral describes it as "partial internal transcribed spacer region". The stretch from base 1 to 46 matches the Rfam family "Eukaryotic small subunit ribosomal RNA", at positions 1786 to 1831 of the family's 1831-position model. The record is from RNAcentral. Lineage: Eukaryota; Fungi; Basidiomycota; Tremellomycetes; Cystofilobasidiales; Mrakiaceae.